UGGGCGUGAAAGCUCCGGGCCCAACCCGGAGAGGUCGUUCAAUACUGCGUGUCUAGAGGGUGUCAGAGGGGAGUGGAAUUUCCGGAGUAGCGGUAAAAUGCGCAGAGAUCGGAAAGAACACCAAUGGCGAAGGCAGCUCCCUGGGGCAACCCUGACGCUAAGAGACGAAAGCUAGGGGAGCGAACAGGAUUAGAGACCCUGGUAGUCCUAGCCCUAAACGAUGGAUGCUGGAUGUGGGGCCAUAGCGCUCCGUGUCGAAGCGAACGCGUUAAGCAUCCCGCCUGGGGACUACGGCCGCAAGGUUAAAACUCAAACGAAUUGACGGGACCCCGCACAAGCAGCGGAGCGUGUGGUUUAAUUCGAUGCUACACGAAGAACCUUACCUGGGUUUGACAUCUAGGUGGUAGUGAAGCGAAAGCGGAGCGACCCUUCGGGGAGCCUAGACAGGUGCUGCAUGGCUGUCGUCAGCUCGUGCCGUGAGGUGUCGGGUUAAGUCCCGUAACGAGCGCAACCCUUGCCCUCCGUUAUACGUGUCAGAGGGGACUGCCGGCGGUAAGCCGGAGGAAGGUGGGGAUGACGUCAAGUCAGCAUGGCCUUUAUAUCCAGGGCUACACACACGCUACAAUGGCCAGUACAAAGGGCAGCGAAGCCGCGAGGUGGAGCGAAUCCCAGCAAAGCUGGUCGUAGUUCGGAUUGCAGGCUGCAACCCGCCUGCAUGAAGCUGGAGUUGCUAGUAACCGCGCGUCAGCCAUAGUGCGGUGAAUACGUUCCACGGGGUUUGUACACACCGCCCGUCACGUCAUGGGAGUCGAUAACGCCUGAAGCCGGUGGCCUAGCUCGGAAGAGAGGGCGCUGUCUAAGGCGGGGUCGGUGACUGGGACGAAGUCGUA
Molecule: ribosomal RNA, 890 nt
Filed under: uncultured organism
Description: bacterial SSU rRNA
Rfam family: Bacterial small subunit ribosomal RNA
Source: RNAcentral